CCUACGGGAGGCUGCAGUCGAGAAUCAUUCACAAUGGGGGAAACCCUGAUGGUGCGACGCCGCGUGGGGGAAUGAAGGUCUUCGGAUUGUAAACCCCUGUCAUGUGGGAGCAAAUUAAAAAGAUAGUACCACACUAGGAAGAGACGGCUAACUCUGUGCCAGCAGCCGCGGUAAUACAGAGGUCUCAAGCGUUGUUCGUAAUCACUGGGCGUAAAGCGUGCGUAGGCUGUUUCGUAAGUCGUGUGUGAAAGGCGCGGGCUCAACCCGCGGACGGCACAUGAUACUGCGAGACUAGAGUAAUGGAGGGGGAACCGGAAUUCUCGGUGUAGCAGUGAAAUGCGUAGAUAUCGAGAGGAACACUCGUGGCGAAGGCGGGUUCCUGGACAUUAACUGACGCUGAGGCACGAAGGCCAGGGGAGCGAAAGGGAUUAGAUACCCCAGUAGUC
Molecule: ribosomal RNA, 446 nt
Filed under: uncultured bacterium
Lineage: Bacteria
Description: partial 16S ribosomal RNA
Rfam family: Bacterial small subunit ribosomal RNA
Source: RNAcentral